AUGUACUCUGCUGCAGUGCUGCCCCUGGGACACUGCACACUGCACUUCACUGCAGUCCACUGUGUUAUCCAAGGCUGUGCUGUGUGGUGCUCUGCACACACUGCACUGGUGCUCGACCACACUGCACACACCGCACACACUGCACUAGUGCUAGAACACACUGCACACACUGCAUACACUACACUGGUGCUAGGCCACACUGCACAUGCUGCAGUAGUGCUAGAACGCACUGCACACGCUGCACUAGUGUUAGAACACACUGCACACACUGCACUAGUGUUAGAACACACUGCACACACUGCACUGGUGCUAGACCACACUGCACACACCGCACUGGUACUAGAUCAUACUGCACACACACACACAGUGCUAGACCACACUGCACACACUGCACUGGUGCUAGACCACGCUGCACACACUGCACACACUACACUAGUGCUAGACCACACUGCACAGGCUGCACUAGUGUUAGAACACACUGCACACACUGCACUAGUGUUAGAACACACUGCACACACUGCACUGGUGCUAGACCACACUGCACACACUGCACUAGUGUUAGAACACACUGCACACACUGCACUGGUGUUAGAACACACUGCACACACUGCACUGGUGCUAGACCACACUGCACACACUGCACUGGUGCUAGACCACACUGCACACACUGCACUGGUGCUAGACCACACUGCACACACUGCACUAGUGUUAGAACACACUGCACACACUGCACUGGUACUAGAUCAUACUGCACACACACACACACACAGUGCUAGACCACACUGCACACACUGCACUGGUGCUAGACCACACUGCACACACUGCAGUAGUGCUAGGACACACUGCACAUGCUGCCCUGCUGCCGCACCACACUGCAUUGCCGCGCUCUGCUGCACUGUGGUGUCCUGCCCUGCACAGUGCUGUGCCCUGCAGCUGUGUGGUGUUACAGUAGAGAGUGCAGUGUGCAGAGUGCAGUGUAGAGUCCAGGACACUGCGCAGCACAGGGCCGCAUAG
This 1014-nucleotide long non-coding RNA is filed under the name Bos indicus x Bos taurus (hybrid cattle). Its description in RNAcentral is "lncRNA (ENSBIXG00005025232.1)". Lineage: Eukaryota; Metazoa; Chordata; Mammalia; Artiodactyla; Bovidae. The record is from RNAcentral.